RNAcentral lists this ribosomal RNA (253 nucleotides) under uncultured bacterium. RNAcentral's name for it is "partial 16S ribosomal RNA". It matches the Rfam family "Bacterial small subunit ribosomal RNA", at positions 524 to 776 of the family's 1533-position model. The record is from RNAcentral.
UACGGGGGGGGCAAGCGUUGUUCGGAAUUACUGGGCGUAAAGGGUUCGUAGGUGGCCUACUAAGUCAGACGUGAAAUCCCUCAGCUUAACUGGGGAACUGCGUCUGAGACUGGUGGGCUUGAGUGCAGGAGAGGAACGCGGAAUUCCAGGUGUAGCGGUGAAAUGCGUAGAUAUCUGGAGGAACACCGGUGGCGAAGGCGGCGUUCUGGACUGCAACUGACACUGAGGAACGAAAGCCAGGGGAGCAAACGGG